UGAGGAAUCUUCCACAAUGGACGAAAGUCUGAUGGAGCAAUACCGCGUGCAGGAAGACGGCUUUCGGGUUGUAAACUGCUUUUGUAUGGGAAAAUUAUGAUGGUACCAUGCGAAUAAGGACCGGCUAACUACGUGCCAGCAGCCGCGGUAAUACGUAGGGUCCAAGCGUUAUCCGGAAUUACUGGGCGUAAAGAGUAUGUAGGUGGAUGUUUAAGUGAGAUGCGAAAUCUUUCGGCUCAACCGGAAGACU
Molecule: ribosomal RNA, 250 nt
Filed under: uncultured bacterium
Lineage: Bacteria
Description: partial 16S ribosomal RNA
Rfam family: Bacterial small subunit ribosomal RNA
Source: RNAcentral